GAUGAAGAACGCAGCGAAAUGCGAUAAGUAAUGUGAAUUGCAGAAUUCAGUGAAUCAUCGAAUCUUUGAACGCACAUUGCGCCCCCUGGUAUUCCGGGGGGCAUGCCUGUUCGAGCGUCAUUUCACCACUCAAGCCUCGCUUGGUAUUGGGCAACGCGGUCCGCCGCGUGCCUCAAAUCGACCGGCUGGGUCUUCUGUCCCCUAAGCGUUGUGGAAACUAUUUGCUAAAGGGUGUUCGGGAGGCUACGCCGUAAAACAACCCCAUUUCUAAGGUUGACCUCGGAUCAGGUAGGGAUACCCGCUGAACUUAAGCAUAUCAAUAAGCGGAGGA
This 331-nucleotide unclassified non-coding RNA is filed under the name soil metagenome. RNAcentral describes it as "partial contains 5.8S ribosomal RNA, internal transcribed spacer 2, and large subunit ribosomal RNA". The stretch from base 1 to 120 matches the Rfam family "5.8S ribosomal RNA", at positions 35 to 154 of the family's 154-position model. The record is from RNAcentral.